This 433-nucleotide ribosomal RNA is filed under the name uncultured bacterium. Its description in RNAcentral is "partial 16S ribosomal RNA". It matches the Rfam family "Bacterial small subunit ribosomal RNA", at positions 29 to 507 of the family's 1533-position model. The record is from RNAcentral.
AACGAACGCUGGCGGCAUGCCUAACACAUGCCAGUCGAACGAGACCUUCGGGUCUAGUGGCGCACGGGUGCGUAACGCGUGGGAACCUGCCCUUAGGUUCGGAAUAACUCCCCGAAAGGGGUGCUAAUACCGGAUAAUGUCUUCGGACCAAAGAUUUAUCGCCUUUGGAUGGGGCCGCGUUGGAUUAGCUAGUUGGUAGGGUAAAAGCCUACCAAGGCGACGAUCCAUAGCUGGUCUGAGAGGAUGAUCAGCCACACUGGGACUGAGACACGGCCCAGACUCCUACGGGAGGCAGCAGUGGGGAAUAUUGGACAAUGGGCGAAAGCCUGAUCCAGCAAUGCCGCGUGAGUGAUGAAGGCCUUAGGGUUGUAAAGCUCUUUUACCCGGGAUGAUAAUGACAGUACCGGGAGAAUAAGCUCCGGCUAACUCCGUG